This 255-nucleotide ribosomal RNA is filed under the name uncultured bacterium. Its description in RNAcentral is "partial 16S ribosomal RNA". It matches the Rfam family "Bacterial small subunit ribosomal RNA", at positions 524 to 776 of the family's 1533-position model. The record is from RNAcentral.
UACAGAGGUCUCGAGCGUUGUUCGGAUUCAUUGGGCGUAAAGGGCGCGUAGGCGGCCUCUGCAAGUCGACUGUGAAAUCUCCGGGCUUAACCCGGAACGGUCAGCCGAUACUGCAGGGCUAGAGUGCAGAAGGGGCAACUGGAAUUCUCGGUGGUAGCGGUGAAAUGCGUAGAUAUCGAGAGGAACACCGGUGGCGAAGGCGGGUCUCUGGGCAGUAACUGACGCUGAGAAGCGAAAGCAUGGGGAGCGAACAGG